AGGUGAACCUGCGGAAGGAUCAUUGU
RNAcentral lists this ribosomal RNA (26 nucleotides) under Dendrophthora roraimae. RNAcentral describes it as "partial 18S ribosomal RNA". Lineage: Eukaryota; Viridiplantae; Streptophyta; Magnoliopsida; Santalales; Viscaceae. The record is from RNAcentral.